RNAcentral lists this long non-coding RNA (206 nucleotides) under Elaeis guineensis (African oil palm). RNAcentral's name for it is "long non-coding RNA (EGUI_LNC012360)". Lineage: Eukaryota; Viridiplantae; Streptophyta; Magnoliopsida; Arecales; Arecaceae. The record is from RNAcentral.
GUAACACAAUACAUCAAUAGAUGGGUUCAGAUUGUAUCUUUCAUGCGAAAAAAAUGAUUCACGACAUCAACUGGUGGAUCUAUGCAAAUAGGUGAAGGAAGAGAUUGAAGUCCCUUGGGAUCUAUGCAAGAUGUGAUCCAUUAGUUGAUGCUGUGAAAGAAUAUUGGACAUGUUUCUUGGCAAGUAAGAUGCUAGUUGUGUACUCC